Molecule: ribosomal RNA, 293 nt
Filed under: Pseudomonas aeruginosa
Lineage: Bacteria; Pseudomonadati; Pseudomonadota; Gammaproteobacteria; Pseudomonadales; Pseudomonadaceae
Description: partial 23S ribosomal RNA
Rfam family: Bacterial large subunit ribosomal RNA
Source: RNAcentral
CUAUCUGCCGUGGACGUUUGAGAUUUGAGAGGGGCUGCUCCUAGUACGAGAGGACCGGAGUGGACGAACCUCUGGUGUUCCGGUUGUCACGCCAGUGGCAUUGCCGGGUAGCUAUGUUCGGAAAAGAUAACCGCUGAAAGCAUCUAAGCGGGAAACUUGCCUCAAGAUGAGAUCUCACUGGGAGCUUGAUUCCCCUGAAGGGCCGUCGAAGACUACGACGUUGAUAGGCUGGGUGUGUAAGCGUUGUGAGGCGUUGAGCUAACCAGUACUAAUUGCCCGUGAGGCUUGACCAU